Long non-coding RNA from Trachemys scripta elegans, 539 nucleotides. RefSeq lists it as uncharacterized. Lineage: Eukaryota; Metazoa; Chordata; Testudines; Emydidae. The record is from RefSeq and is a predicted model, not a curated record. The transcript has 3 exons.
UCUCCCCUUCCCCCAGCAUCUCAGUUCUGAGGCAGUUAAAGCAGCAAGUUAAAGCAGCCUGCAGUCCUGAACAGAAAAACUCCACCUGGCUUGACAUGGUUUACAAGGGCUCUGAAGUAACUUGCUGUGCUAAGUGUCCUGAAGUACCUUGGUUUGGACUACAACUGCCAAACUUCAUGGAAGUGCUGGUGUUGCCUUCAUAUAGUCUCUGGCUGCUGGGCCUUAACCUGGGAACAGCAUCCCUGACCCUGAGAUACCCCCAGCCAUGGCUCUGCCUCUCGGCGAACAACCUGAAACUUUAUCUCCCCGCAGCGUGCAGAGACCCGUGGGAUAUUCACACGCUGCACAAUGGCAAUGUCAUGGUGUGCAGUGCAGAACAGCGCCUGAGACCUGGCCUUUGGGUUAGUAAUCUAUCCGGCUCUUAAGGCAUCGGCUUUACCUUACCUCCCUCUCUGCUCUUUCCCCAUCACUGUAUCCUAAUUGCUUUCACAGGAGAAUCCAACAUGCAACUGUUCCUUGCAAUCAAUCAAAUAAACAUG